UCCUCUUUGGCUCUGGGAAUUUCUCCUCCCACGUGGAGGCCCCCACAGCAGUGGACACCACCCAGCCAGGCCCACCUGACCGGUCAGGCUCAAACCCUCUGGUACCCGCCCCACCCAUAGGACCAGGUGUAAACCAGGCAGCGACACCCCAGACGUGUGGUCUUGGUCAGCUCCCCUGGGCUCCUCUCCCUCCAGCUGGCCCUUCUCUGCCCAGGAAACAGUUUUCUGAAGAGUUCUCCGUUCUCGAGCCUUCCAGCUGCGUGGGAGAGAGUUGACCCCAAGGCUGGGACCACAAGAGGCCAGGGAGGGUGGGCCUGGGAUCUGCAGCUCACGGGCUGUGUGACUGUGGGCACGAGAUUUCAUUUCCUGAUUCAUAAAGGUGGGGACCGAUCAAAGCUACUCCUUGGACCUUUGUGAAGAUUAAAUGAGUUCAACACGGAGCAUUCUUGACCCAUGGGCCAUCCCCAGAUGAGGCUGCAGCAUUGCCCCGUGUGCUCUCAGCUGGUGCCAGUGUUGUCUGGAACUGUCUGGACCUACCUGGAAACUGAGUAUUUCUCUGAAGAAGUCUGCAGCCCUUUGGCAGCGUGGCUGCAGAUGGAAGGAAGGAAACAGUUCGCCCUGGAGAAUGGCUAGGCAGCACCUCUGAGCCGAGCAUCCCACCCGCUCUGACUGGCCCACAAUCGUGGGGCCAGUGGUAUCUCAGAGCCCUUCUGUAAGGAGGUCUGGUCCCCCGGCAUUCAGGGGUUCUGAGCUGCUCAGUUCUGGGAUAUGGGGAAAAGCCAGGAUUCUCCACCAUGCUGGCUGACGCCAUUUCUCUGUUCACCAGACCUACAGGGUUUUGUCACUUACAGUGAUUGCCAUGGUCUGAAUGCUUGUGUCCUCCUCGAAAGAGCCUUCCAAGAUGCGGUGCCCUCCAUCAGCAUAUUGCCACGCCUUUCUCUCCCAGGAUGCAUUGCUGGGAUGGAUGAACAGGGCCAUGCGAUAAAUCCUCUAACGUUGCCACGUCUGUGCUUUUGCCUCCUUUCCUCUCCGUUGUAUGGAGGAAGUUCUGACAGCUCACUUCAUUUCACGUGGUGUGCAAGCUUCUGUCAAACAACGGAACAAACUAUGAGAACCACUUCCAGCCACUGCUUCUGCACACUUCUCUGCUAAGUGAGUCUCUGCUGUGUGAGUCUCAUUGGUAAAACUACCCUGAUCUAACAUUCUGUUACCUCCUUUGUGGUCCAACACUCCAAGAGUCCACGGCCUCAGACGCCCCUGGGUUUCUGCUGAUGUAAAUUGGCAAAAACUUGCAUUCAGUGUGUAUGUGGCUCCUCUUGGGUCUCACUGUGUGUUUAUCCCUCUGCACCCAACUCUAGUCAUGGCUCUGGGAAUAAUGAGGGUCGGUGGAGGUGGAUCUCAAGGGAGAUCUGUCAUCUUGCAAGGCUGUUUCCUCAAGUGAAGCCAUCACAGAUCUUUGGGCACAGUUUUACUCACCUCAGACUCUAAGGAAGAGUCACUUCUGCUUACAGGGAGACUCAGGAAGGUCUAAUGUUCAGGGGACUCAGAGUCAGAGAAAUCCACCCUCUCCAGUUCUCGAGGUCUCAUUCUUUCCAAAUAAAUGCCUUAACUUUGACUUAAGAGAUUUAGUAAGACAUUUAAUUAUUCUUUAGUUGUAAUUCAUUAGCCUGCAAGAUCAAAUUUGUACUCUGCAUUUAAAAAAAAAAGUUGACUCUACAGCUACAAGAACUAAAAUGGUUUUUUUAGGACAGCUAUAGAAGGGCUCUGGUUCUCUGUCUAUACCUUCAGCUGAGCACUUAAGGCCACAGCUUGUCAUUUUCUUUGUCAGUUCCCCAGUGCAAUAAGCAGCAGCCACCCCAUGCCACAUCCUUGUAUGCAUGGUUUCCAUCCACAUCCUAAUGUCCUAUUGCAAGAGCCCCCUGGUGUCUGAAACCCAGGCUUGUGAUGGGCACUGCAUCGCAGAGACCUCAAGGUAAUGAUUUUACCAGUGACAAUGUUUAUAGAUUAUCUGCAUCCUGCUUCCCACUCCUCACGUGGUCCUCACUGACAUCAGACAAAACCUGGUCUGUCCAAUUACUAACUCCAGAUUCCCAUCUUCAAGGUUCUGCCUUCCUGGAAACACUGCUGGUACCAGGAAUGGUUGGUCGGGAACACUAAAGUCACUCUAGGUAUUUUGGGUAGAAGGAGAUUCAUUGCAGGGAACUCUAGGCUUACAGAAAUGUUGAGAACUUUGGGGACUGAAGGUUAUUUCAGGAGAUCUGGAAGUGCAGGGAUAGAAGGGUAGCAUCCAUUGCCCCCUGAUAACUGUACCACUGACAUGGCUAGAAACCACCCCAGUGAUCCCAGCUGCUUGUAGCACCUCAGGGUGAUUCUCAAACUGACUCCAGAAGCCAAGGUACACUGCUGCCAAUGACUGCAGGGGCCUCUGCAAAACGGACGUUGAUGAAUGAAACAAAGUGUGAUCUACCCAUAGCAGGGAAUGUUAUUCAUCCUUAAAAAGGAAGGAAAUCCUGCAGCUCACGCCUGUC
This 2528-nucleotide long non-coding RNA is filed under the name Homo sapiens (human). Its description in RNAcentral is "HSALNT0360956". Lineage: Eukaryota; Metazoa; Chordata; Mammalia; Primates; Hominidae. The record is from RNAcentral.